RNAcentral lists this ribosomal RNA (253 nucleotides) under uncultured bacterium. RNAcentral's name for it is "partial 16S ribosomal RNA". It matches the Rfam family "Bacterial small subunit ribosomal RNA", at positions 524 to 776 of the family's 1533-position model. The record is from RNAcentral.
GACGAACCGUGCGACCGUUAUUCGGAAUCACUGGGCUUAAAGGGCGCGUAGGCGGGCCGAAAAGUCAGGGGUGAAAGCCCCCGGCUCAACCGGGGAAGUGCCUUUGAUACUGACGGCCUCGAGGGGGAUAGGGGCGUGCGGAACUUCCGGUGGAGCGGUGAAAUGCGUAGAUAUCGGAAGGAGCACCGGUGGCGAAAGCGGCGCGCUGGAUCCCUUCUGACGCUGAGGCGCGAAAGCCAGGGGAGCGAACGGG